Long non-coding RNA from Vigna unguiculata (cowpea), 1521 nucleotides. RefSeq lists it as uncharacterized. NCBI's taxonomy places the organism in Eukaryota, Viridiplantae, Streptophyta, Magnoliopsida, Fabales, Fabaceae. The record is from RefSeq and is a predicted model, not a curated record.
UGUCGGGCAAAAGCAACUACACAAACCAUAGGAGAAAAAAAAAAAAAAACUUUCUUUUCCCCUCUUAACUUUAACCAGUGUAGAGUAACUCUCACAAUUCAGCCUUCCUAGUUCCACCCAGUUACCAUUUUCUUCCGCAUUGUCCCCUUCUUUUCUUUGGCUUGUCACCGUCUAUUUUUUUCCUCUAUGCUAAAUCUUAAACCAUAAUUGUAGGCAUAGAAUAGAGUCACACACACACUCUACUAUUAUCAUUGUUUUUGUUUUUGAACAAAAAAAAUCAAUUCUUGGAGAUUGAUUUUUGGCAUUGACAGUGAAACAAGUCUGCUUUUUGUCUUCUUCUCUGUGACCUCCUUUCACUCUCUACAUUCCGCCAAAUUUGUCUUGUACCUGCACGCGCCUCUUCCGCUCUUCUUCUCUCAAAAACAGAUGGAUAGAAUCAUGGGUUCCAAUCUAAGACCCCAUCUCUUCAACACUCUCUGAUAUGCCUUGUACUGCAUCUCUGAUCCAUCAAGAUAUAAACCUGCAAAAUACUAAUGCUCAUUAUCUGCUACGGAGAUACAAUAACAAUCCAGGGGCAGUUAAGGUUGAAGAAGAAGGAAACUAAGAUAGUCUCACACUAUUAUCGGGCUAUGGAAUCCUUCUCUUGGUGGAAUAUUCUACUCUCUGAUGUGAUGUCUGAUAUCUUGGUACAUAUUGAUUUAUUUAUUUUUCAUUUUCGUGCUGAGAAACCAGGUAUCUUUCUAUAUACCAUAUGAAGAUGAAUCAUGGCAUGUGAUUGAUGUCUUUACUCAAACUAUCUGUUAAUUAACCUGAGAAUAUAUUAAAAUCUGAUUCGUGACUCUCUAUAUGAAGCUCUGAUUUGUAUUCCUUCACAGUUAAAUCCAGAAUUUGUUUUAUUUUCAUCCUGCAGCCUGUCUGCUGUGUGAUUCUGUCGAACAAAUUAAGCAACACGAAUAAAUUUAACAGUUAAAUUUCUUGUAAGACACUUGGCUGCUGUUUCAGAUGCUCGUGUAAGAAAUAUUCCACAAUCUAAACAGAACAGAAAACUAUACUACUGUUAUUUAUUUAUACCCUAUCACCUGCAGUUUUUGUUUUACUUACAUUACAGCUCAUAUGUUUUCCUUUAUAUUCAUUCCAUAAAAUAACUUUCAGCAGUAUUGAUCUUCCAACGUGACUGUAGAUGCUGACAUGGGAAGAACAUUUGUUAAUGAACGCUUGGUUGAAAUUUUCUCUUCUAUGUAAAGGUAAGGAGGAAGUACAUUAUACAUGUAUAGGAGAUGUGCAAGAGAAGCUACCUAAUGGUGUUGUCACUUUGGAGAUUGUAUAUAGUGUUGUCCUUAAUGGAAGAAGAAAAUCUCUUCUGACAAUGCAUCCUCUUGAUUUUCUGCAUCUUUGUUUCUAUAUUCAAUUAUUCAUUAUAAAUUGUGUCAUGAAAUGAUUUAAAGGAGGAAUGUGAUAGAGCAUGUAUAUUUGAAACGGGUGAUUUGAAAUGUUGGUGUAAAAGUAGGUGAUAUUUGAUGU